RNAcentral lists this ribosomal RNA (653 nucleotides) under uncultured marine group I thaumarchaeote. RNAcentral's name for it is "bacterial SSU rRNA". It matches the Rfam family "Archaeal small subunit ribosomal RNA", at positions 321 to 977 of the family's 1478-position model. The record is from RNAcentral. Lineage: Archaea; Thermoproteati; Nitrososphaerota.
CCCUACGGGGUGCAGCAGGCGAGAAAACUUUGCAAUGUGCGAAAGCACGACAAGGUUAAUCCGAGUGGUUUCUGCUAAAGGAACCUUUUGUCAGUCCUAGAAACACUGAUGAAUAAGGGGUGGGCAAGUUCUGGUGUCAGCCGCCGCGGUAAAACCAGCACCUCAAGUGGUCAGGAUGAUUAUUGGGCCUAAAGCAUCCGUAGCCGGCUCUGUAAGUUUUCGGUUAAAUCUGUACGCUCAACGUACAGGCUGCCGGGAAUACUGCAAAGCUAGGGAGUGGGAGAGGUAGACGGUACUCGGUAGGAAGGGGUAAAAUCCUUUGAUCUAUUGAUGACCACCUGUGGCGAAGGCGGUCUACCAGAACACGUCCGACGGUGAGGGAUGAAAGCUGGGGGAGCAAACCGGAUUAGAUACCCGGGUAGUCCCAGCUGUAAACCAUGCAAACUCAGUGAUGCAUUGGCUUGUGGCCAAUGCAGUGCUGCAGGGAAGCCGUUAAGUUUGCCGCCUGGGAAGUACGUACGCAAGUAUGAAACUUAAAAGGAAUUGGCCGGGGGGAGCACCACAAGGGUGAAGCCUGCGGGUUUCAUUGGAGUCAACGCCAGAAUCCUACCCGAGAGACAGCAGAAUGGAAGUCAGCUGAGACUUUACAGACA